UACAGAGGUCCCAAGCGUUGUUCGGAUUCAUUGGGCGUAAAGGGUGCGUAGGCGGCGCGGUAAGUCGGGUGUGAAAUCUCGGGGCUUAACUCCGAAACUGCAUUCGAUACUGCCGUGCUUGAGGACUGGAGAGGAGACUGGAAUUUACGGUGUAGCGGUGAAAUGCGUAGAUAUCGUAAGGAACACCGGUGGCGAAGGCGGGUCUCUGGGCCGAUACUGACGCUGAGGAGCGAAAGCGUGGGGAGCGAACAGG
This 253-nucleotide ribosomal RNA is filed under the name uncultured bacterium. RNAcentral describes it as "partial 16S ribosomal RNA". It matches the Rfam family "Bacterial small subunit ribosomal RNA", at positions 524 to 776 of the family's 1533-position model. The record is from RNAcentral.